AGUACAGCUCAUCAAUCAUUUAAUGUUAAAAAUUUUCACACUGUAAACGUGUAAUAUUACCUACAUUUAUUAUGUAAUACCCACCCCAGACUUUUUUGGUGACUAGGAUGGGUUAAAAAUAAUGGCAGGUUAAAGUCUUGAAUCUUCUAGAUUUUUGUUU
This is a long non-coding RNA of Phyllostomus discolor (pale spear-nosed bat), 160 nucleotides long. RefSeq lists it as uncharacterized. The record is from RefSeq and is a predicted model, not a curated record. The transcript is spliced from 2 exons. Lineage: Eukaryota; Metazoa; Chordata; Mammalia; Chiroptera; Phyllostomidae.